RNAcentral lists this unclassified non-coding RNA (408 nucleotides) under uncultured fungus. RNAcentral describes it as "sequence contains ITS2". The stretch from base 1 to 155 matches the Rfam family "5.8S ribosomal RNA". The record is from RNAcentral. Lineage: Eukaryota; Fungi.
AACUUUUAGCAACGGAUCACUUGGUUCUGGCAUCGAUGAAGAACGCAGCGAAAUGCGAUAAGUAAUGCGAAUUGCAGAAUUCCAGUGAGUAAUCGAAUCUUUGAAGCCACAUUGCGCCCUUUGGUUUCCCAAAGGUCAUGCCUGUUCGGGCUUCAUUAUCUUCCCUCAAGCCCCUGGGUUGGGGGUGGACGGUUUGGUCGAGGUCCCCUCGGGGGCUUCUGCCCCUUACAAAGACAAUGACGGCGGCCUCGUUGGGCCCCAGGUACACCGAGUUCUUAACGGGACACGUAUCGGACACAUGGGUUUACGGGAGACGGUCUGCCUCCCCUCAGGGAGAAUCUUGAUCAGGUUGACCUCGGAUCAGGUAGGGAUACCCGCUGAACUUAAGCAUAUCAAUAAGCGGAGGCU